RNAcentral lists this ribosomal RNA (429 nucleotides) under Pseudomonadota bacterium. RNAcentral's name for it is "Proteobacteria bacterium partial 16S ribosomal RNA". It matches the Rfam family "Bacterial small subunit ribosomal RNA", at positions 355 to 776 of the family's 1533-position model. The record is from RNAcentral. Lineage: Bacteria; Pseudomonadati; Pseudomonadota.
UGGGGAAUAUUGGACAAUGGGCGAAAGCCUGAUCCAGCCAUGCCGCGUGUGUGAAGAAGGUCUUCGGUUUGUAAAGCUCUUUAAGUUGGGAGGAAGGGCAGUAAGCGAAUACCUUGCUGUUUUGACGUUACCGACAGAAUAAGCACCGGCUAACUCUGUGCCAGCAGCCGCGGUAAUACAGAGGGUGCAAGCGUUAAUCGGAAUUACUGGGCGUAAAGCGCGCGUAGGUGGUUCGUUAAGUUGAAUGUGAAAGCCCCGGGCUCAACCUGGGAACUGCAUCCAACACUGGCGAGCUAGAGUAGGGCAGAGGGUGGUGGAAUAUCCUGUGUAGCGGUGAAAUGCGUAGAUAUAGGAAGGAACACCAAUGGCGAAGGCGACAACCUGGGCUCAUACUGACACUGAGGUGCGAAAGAGUGGGGAGCAAACAGG